CCCAGUGUUUAGACUACCUGUUCA
RNAcentral lists this non-coding RNA (24 nucleotides) under Ornithorhynchus anatinus (platypus). The record is from RNAcentral. RNAcentral also lists the same sequence under 2 other names. Lineage: Eukaryota; Metazoa; Chordata; Mammalia; Monotremata; Ornithorhynchidae.